UGAAGCUUGAGCUGACCUGCUGCCUUUUC
This 29-nucleotide non-coding RNA is filed under the name Rattus norvegicus (Norway rat). Lineage: Eukaryota; Metazoa; Chordata; Mammalia; Rodentia; Muridae. The record is from RNAcentral.